This is a long non-coding RNA of Chelonia mydas (Green sea turtle), 1867 nucleotides long. RefSeq lists it as uncharacterized. The record is from RefSeq and is a predicted model, not a curated record. NCBI's taxonomy places the organism in Eukaryota, Metazoa, Chordata, Testudines, Cheloniidae. The transcript is spliced from 3 exons.
GGAGCCGCCGCGCCCAUGGCAGCUGCAAGCGGGGCCCAGGGAGCCGCAGGAGAUGAUGGGCAGAGCGGAUCCCCCCCGGGGGAGACCCUGGGCAAAGAGCGCGGACCAGCAGAAGGCGCGCGCGCAGUGCGGCAGCCGGGGCGGCUGCCACAAGCUGGACCCAAAAUGUGAAGAGGCUCCAUCCAAUACAGAAAAAGGACAUCUCUACCCCGCAGAACUUACAAUUUCAUUUCAGACAAGAUGCACUGAAGGAUGGGGUUACAGCACAGACACCAGAGGGGAGCCAUUGGUGGCAUGGCUCCUGAACGAUCACAAUGUUGACAGAUCACAGAAGGGAUCAAGAAGUCGUAUAAUGAGGAGAGGCCACAGGACAGGAGCUUGAUUUCCCCAUGGAUCAUUUGGCUGUGAAGAAUUUGUCCCUUUUUGAUUUCAAAGCUCUUCUCCCCUGAGCCAGAAGCAUAUGAUUUGCCCCAUCUAUGGUGUUAGGUUAAACCAUGAGCUAUAUGGUAUGGUAGCUCAAAUUGUAUGAUUGUAUGAUCAUUGUAUGAUUAUUAUAAGAGUCAUAACCACGUCAACAAGUCUUUCCAUAUGUAGUAAUUCAUUAAGCAGGACUUCUUGGAAGAGAAUAACUGGAAUCUACACAAUUACGGCUUCCUGUAAUUACCAUAAGACAAAAAUAAUCUUGUAUGCCCUUUGGGCCAGAUUCUGCCACCCUUGCUCACAUUGAAUUGUACUUUACUUCACAAAUAGCCCCACUGAAAUCAAAGAUGGCAGAAUCAGGCUCAAGAAAUUUACACCCUGGCAAUAGAUAUCCCACUACACAGUGCUCGUCUUGUAAUUAAAUGACCAACCAUUAAUAUGAACGCAUACAUAUUUGUGUCCUGCAACUUAAAAUAUUACUAAAUAUUUUUUCCUGCUCAUAUAAUGAAUGAGUAAAUAAUGUGUUACCUAUGACACAUGCCAUAAGAUUCAACUACAGGCACUAAACAAAAAGGAAAUUAAAAAUAGACUGCCUGAUUUUCAGUAGUGCUCAACAUCCCCUGUUCUACUGAUGUUAAAUGGAGUUGUGGGUACUUAGCCGUGUUGGAAAUCCUAUAGUUCUCCCAUGGAAUUUAAAUAUGUUGUGUGAGUGCUAUUUCUUCCAGGGCAAUUAUUUUGUUUUAUUUGAUGCGACAGGGUGAAAUAGUUACUAUAUUUGAUGUUUUCCAUGCACUAAAGAACUAGAUCUGGCACAGAAACUAUGUGAUAAUAAAAAGAACUCUACAUUAUUAAAUGCCUCAUCCAACUCCCACUUAAUCCAAUGGAAAGGCUUUCCUUGACUUCAGUGGGAGUUGGGUCAACCCCUAAAAGUAUACUGACAUUUGUUUGGUGCAUAUCUCAAGCACAGAACUAUGUAUUAACACAUAAAGAAAUGAUCUUUUACUUCUACCAGUAGGAUUAAUGGAACGUCCCAAGAGAAACAUCUUAUGUGUAUACUUGAUGAUGAGCAGUGUAUAUUGCAGAUGAGCUACAUACAGUGCUGGCUAGUGGGCCAUCUUUGCUAACGGAAGUGUCGAAACCAUUCCUCCAUUAAUCUCUUACUCCUAGAGAAGAGGUGUCUCUUGAUAAAAGUUGAGUUUAUUUCCAGAACCACUGGGACUGAGUCUGAAAAUUAAGAACCAGCACUGAAAUAAUCUCCAGACAGCACAGCAAAUCAGCUAGUCCUAGUCAACUAAUUAAAAAACUUGAGUUAAAGGAAUAGAUAUUUAAAGGCAUUUACUUUACAACAAGGUUCUACCAUAAAAGAAGAAAGACGGAAAUGAGCGUAUGAUCAGCUCUUUUCAGUGUAUGUUGCUUAAGAAACAGAAGUCCCAUGGAGACCACAAAG